RNAcentral lists this ribosomal RNA (492 nucleotides) under uncultured bacterium. RNAcentral's name for it is "bacterial SSU rRNA". The stretch from base 1 to 426 matches the Rfam family "Bacterial small subunit ribosomal RNA", at positions 1110 to 1533 of the family's 1533-position model. The record is from RNAcentral.
ACUAGUUGCCAACACGUAAUGGUGGGAACUCUAGUGAGACUGCCUGGGUUAACCAGGAGGAAGGUGAGGAUGACGUCAAGUCCGCAUGGCCCUUAUGACUGGGGCUACACACGUGCUACAAUGGUCGGUACAGUGGGCAGCUGAAGCCGUGAGGUGAAGCAAAUCCCCCAAAGCCGAUCUCAGUUCAGAUUGUAGUCUGCAACUCGACUACAUGAAGACGGAAUUGCUAGUAAUGGCGAGUCAGCAACAUCGCCGUGAAUACGUUCCCGGGUCUUGUACACACCGCCCGUCACAUCAUGGGAGUUGGUUUCACCCGAAGCCGCUGGCUCAACCGCAAGGAGAGAGGCGUCUAAGGUGAGGCUGAUGACUGGGAUGAAGUCGUAACAAGGUAGCCCUACCGGAAGGUGGGGCUGGAUCACCUCCUUUAAAGGACAGACUGAGUUACUAGAUAACUCGUCGAUGGUUGGUCAAACUUACUCUGCAAGCACAUUG